This 498-nucleotide ribosomal RNA is filed under the name uncultured bacterium. Its description in RNAcentral is "partial 16S ribosomal RNA". It matches the Rfam family "Bacterial small subunit ribosomal RNA", at positions 29 to 523 of the family's 1533-position model. The record is from RNAcentral.
AUUGAACGCUGGCGGCAUGCCUUACACAUGCUAGUCGAACGGUAACGCGGGGCAACCUGGCGACGAGUGGCGAACGGGUGAGUAACGCAUCGGAACGUGCCCAGUAGUGGGGGAUAGCCCGGCGAAAGCCGGAUUAAUACCGCAUACGACCUACGGGUGAAAGGGGGGGAUCGCAAGACCCCUCGCUAUUGGAGCGGCCGAUGUCAGAUUAGGUAGUUGGUGGGGUAAAGGCCCACCAAGCCUUCGAUCUGUAGCUGGUCUGAGAGGACGACCAGCCACACUGGGACUGAGACACGGCCCAGACUCCUACGGGAGGCAGCAGUGGGGAAUUUUGGACAAUGGGCGCAAGCCUGAUCCAGCCAUGCCGCGUGCGGGAAGAAGGCCUUCGGGUUGUAAACCGCUUUUGUCAGGGAAGAAACGCUCUGGGCUAAUACCCCGGGGUAAUGACGGUACCUGAAGAAUAAGCACCGGCUAACUACGUGCCAGCCGCCGCAGUAA